RNAcentral lists this ribosomal RNA (520 nucleotides) under uncultured Glomus. Its description in RNAcentral is "SSU rRNA". It matches the Rfam family "Eukaryotic small subunit ribosomal RNA", at positions 569 to 1091 of the family's 1831-position model. The record is from RNAcentral. Lineage: Eukaryota; Fungi; Glomeromycota; Glomeromycetes; Glomerales; Glomeraceae.
AGCAGCCGCGGUAAUUCCAGCUCCAAUAGCGUAUAUUAAAGUUGUUGCAGUUAAAAAGCUCGUAGUUGAAUUUCGGGGUUAGUAGGUUGGUCAUGCCUCUGGUAUGUACUGGCCUCACUGAUUCCUCCUUCCUGAUGAGCCGUAAUGCCAUUAAUUUGGUGUUGCGGGGAAUUUGGACUGUUACUUUGAAAAAAUUAGAGUGUUUAAAGCAAGCUAACGCUUGAAUACAUUAGCAUGGAAUAAUGAGAUAGGACGUUCGAUCCUAUUUUGUUGGUUUCUAGGAUUGACGUAAUGAUUAAUAGGGAUAGUUGGGGGCAUUAGUAUUCAAUUGUCAGAGGUGAAAUUCUUGGAUUUAUUGAAGACUAACUACUGCGAAAGCAUUUGCCAAGGAUGUUUUCAUUAAUCAAGAACGAAAGUUAGGGGAUCGAAGACGACCAGAUACCGUCGUAGCCUUAACCAUAAACUAUGCCGACUAGGGAUUGGAUGAUGUUAAUUUUUAAUGACUCAUUCGGCGCCUUAA